Molecule: ribosomal RNA, 877 nt
Filed under: Agaricia lamarcki
Lineage: Eukaryota; Metazoa; Cnidaria; Anthozoa; Scleractinia; Agariciidae
Description: partial 12S small subunit ribosomal RNA
Rfam family: Bacterial small subunit ribosomal RNA
Source: RNAcentral
UUUCACUGAAACAAGGGGAAGGCUCAAAUGGGGCAUUUGCCCCCGAGGCAGCAGUAAAGAAUUUUGUGCAAUAUACGAAGGUAAGACACAGAGAGGGCACCUUACCUAGCCUGUCAAAUUAAGUGCCAGCAGACGCGGUGAAACUUAAGGGCUAGUUUUAUAGACAAAAGCGUAAAGGGUGUGAUCGGCCGUUUUAUAAUUUAAGAAGGUAAAUGGAAUUUUUUUGUAGCGGUGGAAUGUGUGAAUAAAAAAAAGAACCUUAGACGUGAAGGCUAUUUAUUUCUGAGAUUAUAAUGUGAUGGUUAAAACACGAGAGUAUGGGGAGCAAACAGGAUUAGAGACCCUGGUAGUCCAUACUGUAAAUAAUGAAGAGAAUGUGAAGCAAUCCUAAAAAGUAAGAAAUUUUCCGCUUGAGUAGUACGAUCGCAAGGUUAAAAUUCAAAAAACUUGGCUGUUCACUGUUUUAAUUAGAGGAGCGUGUCGUUUAAUUCGAUAGUCCGCGAGAGACCUCACCCAAACUUGAAUCCCCCAUUGACAGGUAUUGCAUGGCCGUCGUCAAUUUGUGUAUUAAACAUAAAACAGAUUCAACCCAGGGUUAUUGGAUGAAGUCAGGUCUUAUUGUCCUAACGUUUGGGGAUUAGAUGCGCUACAUUUUUUUAUACAAUGGGAAACUUUGAAUGUGAAACCCUAAAAUAAGAGUUCGGAAGGUUCCUGGAAGAUAACAGAAAGUUGGAUUUAAUAGUAAUUGAAAAGUAGAGCGUUUCAAUGAACUUUUUUCGGUGUUAGUACAAAUAGCCCGUCGCCUUUGCUUAGACAGAUAAUUUGCUUGCUCUUCAAAGGGGUUGCUAAGAUCUCCGAGGCAGAGUAAGUCGUAACA